Bolinopsis microptera is the source of this 371-nucleotide long non-coding RNA. RefSeq lists it as uncharacterized. The record is from RefSeq and is a predicted model, not a curated record. The transcript has 2 exons. Lineage: Eukaryota; Metazoa; Ctenophora; Tentaculata; Lobata; Bolinopsidae.
AAUGGAGGAGUUGAUAGAAGGAAAAGGAGAACAGACGAGGUUGAUGGACGCUCAUAUCGGAACGUGUUGAGUGGGACGGGUUCUACUACUGCUGCUGAGUCUCGACACCAGGAUGGUUACCAGCCAUUCUGACUCCCCUGAGUAAAGAGAUCAUCAAGACGUGCUGAUCGAUUCAUCACUCCAACCCCAUCCACCUCCUUCAUAUAUCAAUCGACAAAAAUGUGGAACGAUUGUAGAAACACUGCUAGCAAUAUCAACUUCUCUACAUCAACGAACCUUGUGAAAUCCACAAUAAAAAAGGAGUUACUCGGCAUGCAGUCCAGGUACGACGAAAUAGAUUGGUGUGAACUGAACUUCGAUUCCAACGAACU